Molecule: microRNA, 21 nt
Filed under: Caenorhabditis briggsae
Lineage: Eukaryota; Metazoa; Nematoda; Chromadorea; Rhabditida; Rhabditidae
Description: Cbr-Mir-7590_3p (mature (co-guide))
Source: RNAcentral
CCACCAUUUGUUAAGGCCUAG